GGCUUAUCUGAAAGUAGUGAGUUAUCUGGAUUGAUUGUUCAGAGUCAGUCACAGAUUGAACUCCUUGUUCUACUCUUUCCCCUCUUCUCACUACUGCACUUGACUAGUCUUAA
This is an unclassified non-coding RNA of Prolemur simus (greater bamboo lemur), 113 nucleotides long. It matches the Rfam family "Y RNA". From Rfam's summary of the family: Y RNAs are components of the Ro ribonucleoprotein particle (Ro RNP), in association with Ro60 and La proteins. The Y RNAs and Ro60 and La proteins are well conserved, but the function of the Ro RNP is not known. In humans the RNA component can be one of four small RNAs -- hY1, hY3, hY4 and hY5. The record is from Ensembl. Lineage: Eukaryota; Metazoa; Chordata; Mammalia; Primates; Lemuridae.